CCCAUCUCGGCGCCUGCGCCGUGGUCACGGGGGGACCGGACCAGCGCCUGGGGGUGAAGCCGCACGUCCGUGCGGCCGGGGCACCGAUCGCUCCGAACCCGACAGCUCACCUCGCAGGCGGCGGAUCGGAGUA
RNAcentral lists this small RNA (133 nucleotides) under Geodermatophilus nigrescens. RNAcentral describes it as "c-di-AMP sequence". It matches the Rfam family "c-di-AMP riboswitch aptamer (ydaO/yuaA leader)". Rfam says of the family: This family represents a conserved RNA structure found upstream of the ydaO and yuaA genes in Bacillus subtilis and related genes in other bacteria. The ydaO/yuaA element is thought to act as a genetic "off" switch for the ydaO and yuaA genes in its native state. Lineage: Bacteria; Bacillati; Actinomycetota; Actinomycetes; Geodermatophilales; Geodermatophilaceae. The record is from Rfam by way of RNAcentral.